Molecule: ribosomal RNA, 430 nt
Filed under: Pseudomonadota bacterium
Lineage: Bacteria; Pseudomonadati; Pseudomonadota
Description: Proteobacteria bacterium partial 16S ribosomal RNA
Rfam family: Bacterial small subunit ribosomal RNA
Source: RNAcentral
UGGGGAAUAUUGGACAAUGGGCGAAAGCCUGAUCCAGCCAUGCCGCGUGUGUGAAGAAGGUCUUAUGGUUGUAAAGCACUUUAAGCGAGGAGGAGGGUACUGGUAUUAAUACUACCAGCUACUGGACGUUACUCGCAGAAUAAGCACCGGCUAACUCUGUGCCAGCAGCCGCGGUAAUACAGAGGGUGCAAGCGUUAAUCGGAAUUACUGGGCGUAAAGCGCGCGUAGGUGGUUCGUUAAGUUGAAUGUGAAAGCCCCGGGCUCAACCUGGGAACUGCAUCCAAAACUGGCGAGCUAGAGUAGGGCAGAGGGUGGUGGAAUUUCCUGUGUAGCGGUGAAAUGCGUAGAUAUAGGAAGGAACACCAGUGGCGAAGGCGACCACCUGGGCUCAUACUGACACUGAGGUGCGAAAGCGUGGGGAGCAAACAGG